This 196-nucleotide ribosomal RNA is filed under the name uncultured Citrobacter sp. Its description in RNAcentral is "partial 16S ribosomal RNA". It matches the Rfam family "Bacterial small subunit ribosomal RNA", at positions 337 to 525 of the family's 1533-position model. The record is from RNAcentral. Lineage: Bacteria; Pseudomonadati; Pseudomonadota; Gammaproteobacteria; Enterobacterales; Enterobacteriaceae.
UCCUACGGGAGGCAGCAGUGGGGAAUAUUGCACAAUGGGCGCAAGCCUGAUGCAGCCAUGCCGCGUGUAUGAAGAAGGCCUUCGGGUUGUAAAGUACUUUCAGCGAGGAGGAAGGUGUUGAGGUUAAUAACCUCAGCAAUUGACGUUACUCGCAGAAGAAGCACCGGCUAACUCCGUGCCAGCAGCCGCGGUAAUA